GUUAUAUGGUCAAGCGAAUAAGCGCACACGGUGGAUGCCUUGGCGGUCAGAGGCGAUGAAGGACGUGGCAGCCUGCGAAAAGUAUCGGGGAGCUGGCAACAAGCUUUGAUCCGGUAAUGUCCGAAUGGGGAAACCCACCCGCUUGCGGGUAUCCUGCAGUGAAUACAUAGCUGCUGGAAGCGAACCUGGUGAACUGAAAUAUCUAAGUAACCAGAGGAAAAGAAAUCAACCGAGAUUCCGUAAGUAGCGACGAGCGAACGCGGACUAGCCCUUAAGCUGGAUUGGUUCUAGGAAAACGCUCUGGAAAGAGCGGCCAUAGAAGGUGAUAGCCCUGUAUCUGAAAGGGCCAUUCCAGUGAAGACGAGUAGGGCGGGGCACGUGAAACCCUGUCUGAACAUGGGGGGACCAUCCUCCAAGGCUAAAUACUACUGACCGACCGAUAGUGAACCAGUACCGUGAGGGAAAGGCGAAAAGAACCCCGGAGAGGGGAGUGAAAUAGAACCUGAAACCGUGUGCGUACAAGCAGUAGGAGCUCCGCAAGGAGUGACUGCGUACCUUUUGUAUAAUGGGUCAGCGACUUACUGUUCGUGGCAAGCUUAACCGUAUAGGGGAGGCGAAGGGAAACCGAGUCUGAUAAGGGCGCAUAGUCGCGGGCAGUAGACCCGAAACCGGGUGAUCUAGUCAUGCCCAGGGUGAAGGUGCGGUAACACGCACUGGAGGCCCGAACCCACUCCCGUUGCAAAGGUAGGGGAUGAGGUGUGAUUAGGAGUGAAAAGCUAAUCGAACCCGGAGAUAGCUGGUUCUCCUCGAAAGCUAUUUAGGUAGCGCCUCAUAUGUAUCCUCUCGGGGGUAGAGCACUGUUAUGGCUAGGGGGUCAUCGCGACUUACCAAACCAUUGCAAACUCCGAAUACCGAGACGGACUGUAUGGGAGACACACGGCGGGUGCUAACGUCCGUCGUGAAAAGGGAAACAACCCAGACCCACAGCUAAGGUCCCAAAUUCACUGCUAAGUGGAAAACCAUGUGGAAAGGCACAGACAGCCAGGAGGUUGGCUUAGAAGCAGCCACCCUUUAAAGAAAGCGUAAUAGCUCACUGGUCGAGUCGGUCUGCGGGGAAGAUUUAACGGGGCUAAGCAGUGAACCGAAGCUUGGGGUGCAUAACUUUGUUAUGCGCGGUAGAGGAGCGUUCCGUAAGCCGUUGAAGGUGGAUUGAGAAGUCUGCUGGAGGUAUCGGAAGUGCGAAUGCUGACAUGAGUAACGAUAAUGCGGGUGAAAAACCCGCACGCCGAAAGCCCAAGGUUUCCUUGCGCAACGUUAAUCGGCGCAGGGUGAGUCGGCCCCUAAGGCGAGGACGAAAGUCGUAGUCGAUGGGAAGCAGGUUAAUAUUCCUGCACCUCGCGUAAGUGCGAUGGAGGGACGGAGAAGGUUAGGUGUACCAGGCGUUGGUUGUCCUGGGGAAAGGCGGUAGGUUUGGAUCUUUGGCAAAUCCGGGAUCCUCUAAGACCGAGCACCGAGACGAGCCUUUAWGGCGAAGUCACUGAUACCACGCUUCCAGGAAAAGCUCCUAAGCUUCAGCUUACGCAGACCGUACCGUAAACCGACACAGGUGGGUAGGAUGAGAAUUCUCAGGCGCUUGAGAGAACUCGGGUGAAGGAACUAGGCAACAUGGCACCGUAACUUCGGGAGAAGGUGCACCCUUUUUGGUGGCUCGUGCGAGCUAUAGCUGAAGAGGGUCGCAGUAACCAGGCCGCUGCGACUGUUUAUCAAAAACACAGCACUCUGCAAACACGAAAGUGGACGUAUAGGGUGUGACGCCUGCCCGGUGCUGGAAGGUUAAUUGAUGGGGUCAGCCGCAAGGCGAAGCUCUUGAUCGAAGCCCCAGUAAACGGCGGCCGUAACUAUAACGGUCCUAAGGUAGCGAAAUUCCUUGUCGGGUAAGUUCCGACCUGCACGAAUGGCGUAACGACAGCGGCGCUGUCUCCACCCGAGACUCAGUGAAAUUGAAAUCGCUGUGAAGAUGCAGCGUUCCCGUGGCAAGACGGAAAGACCCCGUGAACCUUUACUAUAGCUUUACACUGAACGUUGAGUUCGUCUGUGUAGGAUAGGUGGGAGGCUAUGAAACYAUGGCGCUAGCUGUGGUGGAGCCAUCCUUGAAAUACCACCCUGUCGUGCUUGACGUUCUAACCUGGGCCCAUUAUCUGGGUCGGGGACCGUGUAUGGUGGGUAGUUUGACUGGGGCGGUCUCCUCCUAAAGAGUAACGGAGGAGCUCGAAGGUACGCUCAGCGCGGUCGGACAUCGCGCACUGUGUGCAAAGGCAUAAGCGUGCUUGACUGCAAGAUCGACGGAUCAAGCAGGUAGGAAACUAGGACUUAGUGAUCCGGUGGUUCUGUAUGGAAGGGCCAUCGCUCAACGGAUAAAAGGUACUCCGGGGAUAACAGGCUGAUACCGCCCAAGAGUUCAUAUCGACGGCGGUGUUUGGCACCUCGAUGUCGGCUCAUCACAUCCUGGGGCUGUAGUCGGUCCCAAGGGUAUGGCUGUUCGCCAUUUAAAGUGGUACGCGAGCUGGGUUCAGAACGUCGUGAGACAGUUCGGUCCCUAUCUGCCAUGGGCGUUGGAGAUUUGAGAGGGGCUGCUCCUAGUACGAGAGGACCGGAGUGGACGAACCUCUGGUGUUCCGGUUGUCACGCCAGUGGCAUUGCCGGGUAGCUAUGUUCGGAAGCGAUAACCGCUGAAAGCAUCUAAGCGGGAAGCGCGCCUCAAGAUGAGAUCUCCCGGGGCACAAGCCCCCUGAAGGAACCAUGUAGACUACGUGGUUGAUAGGUCAGGUGUGUAAGUACAGCAAUGUAUUGAGCUAACUGAUACUAAUGAUCCGUGCGGCUUGACCAUAUAACCU
This 2894-nucleotide ribosomal RNA is filed under the name Stenotrophomonas maltophilia. RNAcentral describes it as "23S ribosomal RNA". The record is from RNAcentral. Lineage: Bacteria; Pseudomonadati; Pseudomonadota; Gammaproteobacteria; Lysobacterales; Lysobacteraceae.